AACGUACGCUGGCGGCACGCUUAACACAUGCAAGUCGAACGAAGUAGCAAUACUUAGUGGCAGACGGGUGAGUAACAUGUGGGUAUCUGCCCUUUGGCCUGGAAUAACACGAGGAAACUUGUGCUAAUACCGGAUAAGUCUUUACGGAGAAAGCUUUAUGCACCAUUGGAUGAGCCCGCACUUGAUUAGUUUGUUGGUGGGGUAAUGGCCUACCAAGACUGUGAUCAAUAGCUGAUUUGAGAGGAUGAUCAGCCACAUUGGGACUGAGACACGGCCCAAACUCCUACGGGAGGCAGCAGUGGGGAAUCUUGCACAAUGGAGGAAACUCUGAUGCAGCGAUGCCGCGUGAGUGAAGAAGGCCCUUGGGUUGUAAAGCUCCUUCGUCGGGGAAGAAAAUGACUGUACCCGAAUAAGAAGGUCCGGCUAACUUCGUGCCAGCAGCCGCGGUAAUACGAAGGGACCUAGCGUAGUUCGGAAUUACUGGGCUUAAAGAGUUCGUAGGUGGUUGAAAAAGUUAGUGGUGAAAUCCCAGAGCUUAACUCUGGAACUGCCAUUAAAACUUUUCAGCUAGAGUAUGAUAGAGGAAAGCAGAAUUUCUAGUGUAGAGGUGAAAUUCGUAGAUAUUAGAAAGAAUACCAAUUGCGAAGGCAGCUUUCUGGAUCAUUACUGACACUGAGGAACGAAAGCAUGGGUAGCGAAGAGGAUUAGAUACCCUCGUAGUCCAUGCCGUAAACGAUGUGUGUUAGACGUUGGAAAUUUAUUUUCAGUGUCGCAGCGAAAGCGAUAAACACACCGCCUGGGGAGUACGACCGCAAGGUUAAAACUCAAAUGAAUUGACGGGGACCCGCACAAGUAGUGGAGCAUGUGGUUUAAUUCGAAGAUACGCGCAGAACCUUACCAACACUUGACAUGUUCGUCGCGACUCUAAGAGAUUAGAGUUUUCGGUUCGGCCGGACGAAACACAGGUGCUGCAUGGCUGUCGUCAGCUCGUGUCGUGAGAUGUUGGGUUAAGUCCCGCAACGAGCGCAACCCUCACUUUUAGUUGCCAUCAUUUAGUUGGGCACUCUGAAAGAACUGCCAGUGAUAAGCUGGAGGAAGGUGGGGAUGACGUCAAGUCCUCAUGGCCCUUACGUGUUGGGCUACACACGUGCUACAAUGGUAUCUACAACAGGAAGCAAGACUGCGAGGUCAAGCAAAUCCUUAAAAGAUACCUCAGUUCGGAUUGCACUCUGCAACUCGAGUGCAUGAAGCUGGAAUUACUAGUAAUCGUGGAUCAGCGUGCCACGGUGAAUGCGUUCCCGGGUCU
This 1306-nucleotide ribosomal RNA is filed under the name uncultured bacterium. RNAcentral's name for it is "bacterial SSU rRNA". It matches the Rfam family "Bacterial small subunit ribosomal RNA", at positions 28 to 1381 of the family's 1533-position model. The record is from RNAcentral.